This 253-nucleotide ribosomal RNA is filed under the name uncultured bacterium. RNAcentral's name for it is "partial 16S ribosomal RNA". It matches the Rfam family "Bacterial small subunit ribosomal RNA", at positions 524 to 776 of the family's 1533-position model. The record is from RNAcentral.
UACGUAGGGUGCAAGCGUUAAUCGGAAUUACUGGGCGUAAAGCGUGCGCAGGCGGCUUUGCAAGACAGAUGUGAAAUCCCCGGGCUCAACCUGGGAAUUGCGCUUGUGACUGCAAGGCUAGAGUGCGUCAGAGGGGGGUAGAAUUCCACGUGUAGCAGUGAAAUGCGUAGAGAUGUGGAGGAAUACCGAUGGCGAAGGCAGCCCCCUGGGACGUGACUGACGCUCAUGCACGAAAGCGUGGGGAGCAAACAGG